ACAAAAGUAUUAAAAUGUCCUGUCAUGCUCAUUUAUUUAAAUCAAAAUAAGGUCUUUUGCAUAAUUCGCAGCGGAACAAAAUUCAACUCAAUGUAAAACAUGUAACACAAUACAUGUAACUCAUCAACAACCAAUAUCAAAUCAAUUAAGACAUCCCCUCCCGAUGUUACAUCUAUCAGAGCAUGACCAUAAGAACUACUCUAGACUCCAAGCAUUAGCUUCUACUCAACUCAUUUCUCGUUACCUGAAAAAUAG
This 255-nucleotide long non-coding RNA is filed under the name Lathyrus oleraceus (garden pea). Its description in RNAcentral is "Pisum sativum (pea) long non-coding RNA (PSAT_LNC023580)". Lineage: Eukaryota; Viridiplantae; Streptophyta; Magnoliopsida; Fabales; Fabaceae. The record is from RNAcentral.